RNAcentral lists this ribosomal RNA (356 nucleotides) under uncultured bacterium. RNAcentral describes it as "bacterial SSU rRNA". It matches the Rfam family "Bacterial small subunit ribosomal RNA", at positions 28 to 382 of the family's 1533-position model. The record is from RNAcentral.
GACGAACGCUGGCGGCGUGGAUUAGGCAUGCAAGUCGCGCGACAGACCUUCGGGUUAUGGAGCGGCGAACGGGUGAGUAACACGUGAGAAAUCUACCUUUACGUUCCGGAUAAUUGGAAGAAAUUCCUUGUAAUACGGGGGAGGGUUCCCACUGCAGGCAUCUGCGAGGGAACGAAACGAAGCAAUCGGCGCAAAGAAUGAUCUCGCGGCUUAUCAGGUAGUUGGUGGGGUAACGGCCUACCAAGCCUACGACGAGUAGCUGGUCUGAGAGGAUGGUCAGCCACAUUGGAACUGAGACACUGUCCAGACUCCUACGGGAGGGCUGCAGUCGAGAAUCUUGGGCAAUGCACGAAAGU